GCGCGGCCCCUCCGUGCUCCCCCCGCUGCCCCGCGCGGGGGUUCCGCCGCCCGCCAGGCCCCGGGCGCAGGAAUCCCAAGAGGAAUCCGUAAAUCCCGGGAUUUCUGCCUCUGGAAGCUCGAGAUGCAUUAGAAUUCCAAGAAUUCCCAGAAUUCCCUUUCCCUAAGGAAUGCAGCACCAUGCGCUGCCUGGCCCGCCUCAGCUCCAAG
This is a long non-coding RNA of Camarhynchus parvulus, 209 nucleotides long. RefSeq lists it as uncharacterized. The transcript is spliced from 3 exons. The record is from RefSeq and is a predicted model, not a curated record. Lineage: Eukaryota; Metazoa; Chordata; Aves; Passeriformes; Thraupidae.